CAGUCGAACGCAGUAGCAAUACUGAGUGGCAGUCGGGUGAGUAACAUGUGGGAAUCUGCCUUGUGGUUCAGGACAACAUUGGGAAACCGAUGCUAAUACUGGAUAAGCCCUUACGGGGAAAGUUUUAAUGCCAUAAGAUGAGCCCGCAUUUGAUUAGUUAGUUGGUGAGGUAAUGGCUCACCAAGACAAUGAUCAAUAGCUGAUCUGAGAGGAUGAUCAGCCACACUGGGACUGAGACACGGCCCAGACUCCUACGGGAGGCAGCAGUGGGGAAUCUUGCACAAUGGAGGAAACUCUGAUGCAGCGAUGCCGCGUGAGUGAAGAAGGCCUUUGGGUUGUAAAGCUCUUUUGUAGGGGAAGAUAAUGACUGUACCCUAAGAAUAAGGUCCGGCUAACUUCGUGCCAGCAGCCGCGGUAAUACGAAGGGACCUAGCGUAGUUCGGAAUUACUGGGCGUAAAGCGCGCGUAGGCCGUUGAGUUAGUUAAUUGUGAAAUCCCAAAGCUUAACUUUGGAACUGCAAUUAAAACUGCUCGACUAGAGUUUGAUAGAGGAAAGCGGAAUACAUAGUGUAGAGGUGAAAUUCGUAGAUAUUAUGUAGAACACCAGUUGCGAAGGCGGCUUUCUGGAUCAACACUGACGCUGAGGCGCGAAAGUAUGGGUAGCAAAGAGGAUUAGAUACCCUCGUAGUCCAUACCAUAAACGAUGAUUGCUAGAUGUUGGAAAUUUAUUUUCAGUAUCGCAGCUAACGCAUUAAGCAAUCCGCCUGGGGAGUACGUCCGCAAGGUUAAAACUCAAAUGAAUUGACGGG
Molecule: ribosomal RNA, 809 nt
Filed under: uncultured bacterium
Lineage: Bacteria
Description: bacterial SSU rRNA
Rfam family: Bacterial small subunit ribosomal RNA
Source: RNAcentral